Molecule: long non-coding RNA, 3210 nt
Filed under: Microcebus murinus (gray mouse lemur)
Lineage: Eukaryota; Metazoa; Chordata; Mammalia; Primates; Cheirogaleidae
Description: lncRNA (ENSMICG00000048658.1)
Source: RNAcentral
CCCAGCUACUCGGGAGGCUGAGGCAGGAGGAUGGCCUGAGCUCAGGAGUUUGAGGUUGCUGUGAGCCAGGCUGACGCCACGGCACUCACUCUAGCCUGGGCAACAAAGCGAGACUCUGUCUCAAAAAAACCCAAAAAAAACAAGAAAGCUCACUGGCGGCUCCUGGGCAGUCUUCACGAGAGUCAGCUCCCGGGGACCUGCUGGCUCUGCUGUGAGCUUGGGUGAGUCCCAGGUGAGGAGCCCUCUUCGAAACAGCCCCUCCUGGCUUAAGGCCCGGAGUCCUGUCCGUGGAGCCUGGUCCCCAGGGAGUUUCUCCUGCACACACCCACGUGCGCGGGGAUGGAGGCAGGGUGGCCACCACGGCACUGCUUGUCUUAGCAAAGGACUAGACAUAACCUGAGUGUCCAACGGAGGGGACUGGUAAUUCUGCAUGUCCGUUCAGUAGCAUGCUGGGAGCUCUUAAAAAGAAUGAGACUCGCUGGAGUGUGCUCGCAUGUGGGGGGACAGCUCCUGAGCCCCACGUGGGCGCUUGGCCUAUUUUGUGCCCUUAGAAGCUGCCACAGGCCUCAGAGAUCAGCCGCCUGCUCUGCGCAGCCGCAGUCCUCGCCAGGUGACGGGCAGAGGAGUAAGAUGGAGGAUGGAAAGUUCCAGGGCCCCAGGGGUCUGCCAGUCCCAACCGUGUGGCCUUCAGUGACCCACUCUGCACUCUUUGCCUCCCCUAUAAGACGGGGACAAUCUACCUGCCUUGCAGGUGCGAUGGGCGCCUGGCAUGCAGCGCAGGUGUGCGGUGCAGGUGAGCGCGACCGAAACUCUCCCCAGUGCGGCCUGCAGGGCGGGGUCCAGGGAGACGUCCCCAUCCCUCUGCAGGGAGGAGCAGGGGCUCCGUGCUCGGGCCCCGCCUGUCACCUGCUCUGUGUGUCGGGACGCUCAGCCGCCCUCGCAGCCAGCGGGCGGGGAGGGGAAGAGUUCCCGCCACUGUCUCCUGAGAUGGGACAUACAGGAGACACACGGGCCUUGCCCGACGCUACAGCGGCAGCCUGCUGUGCCUGGUGUUCGGAAGGGGCUGAACACCCUGGGGACCAGCAGUCAGCUUCCCUUUUCCAGCCCUCCCAGCACUCGGCUGCUCAGACAGGGAAUCUCGUCUCUAGCUGGGGCCUCCGGAACUCCGGGUCCUCCAGCCGUCUUCCUGAAAACCGCAUGUAUAUGCAAGUGUCAGUGACUCACGCAGCUUAAAUGCAGCUUCGCCACUCCCUCUCCGGCUGCCAGGAGAAUCUUCCGAGGGGUUUGUGUGUGAAGGUGAUGACCAUUGUUUUUUUAAGAAUGAUACAAUGCUCAUGCUCAAACGAAACAACAAGCAAUAUGGCAAAGUACAAAGAAGGAAGUAACAAAAAGUAACAAGAUUCCUCCCAUCAGGCCAGCUUCAUGACUGCAGAAUUUUUUUUUUUUUUGGAGACACAGUCGCGCUCUGCUGCCCAGGCUGGAGUGCAGUGGUGCGAUCACAGCUCACUGCAGCCUCCAACUCCUCUGAUCCUCCCCCCUCAGCCUCCCAAGCAUCUGGGACUACAGGUGUGCACCACCACGCCUGGCUAAUCUUUUAAAUUUCUUUGUAGAGAUGGGGCCUUGCUAUGUUGCCCAGGCUAGUCUCACCUCAACCUCCCAAAGUGCCAGGAUUACAGACGUGGGCCACCGUGCCUGGCCUAGGGCAGGAUUCUAACUGCUCUGUUCUCUGCUGUAUUCCUAGCACCUAGAACUUCCUGGCACAUUUAAUAAAGCCCACUCUCCGGUGUUAACAUUUUGCAAAUGUCCUACGUACACAAAGAAGUUUGGAGAGAUAAAGAGGGUUAGGUGGUGUUGGGCUCAGAAAGCCAUACCCCAGAGACUGGCGCUCAGAUGUGCUGAGAGGCCUUAGAAGCUGCCUCAGAAUCAGGGUCCUUUAGCUUUCUUUUUUUUGAGACAGAUUCUCACUCUGUCACCUGAGCUAGUGUGCCGUGGUGUCAGCUCAGCUCACAGCAACCUCCAAACUCCCGUGGUUCAAGCGAAUCCUCCUCCUCAGCCUCCGGAGUAGCUGGACUACAGGCAUGCGCCACCAUGCCCGGCUUUUUUUUUUUUUCUAUUUUCAGUUGCCAGCUAAUUUCUUUCUAUUUUUAGUAGAGACGGGGUCUCGCUCUUCCUCAGGCUGGUUUCGAACUCCUGACCUCAAGGGAUCCUCUCACCUUGGCCUCCCAGAGUGCCGAGGGACUACAGUGGGAUUACAGGCAUGAGCCACCCCACCCCGCCCCUUCAGCCUAGUCUUGUUCCCUCCCUGCCCCCAAGUAAAGGGAGGGACUGUCUCUGGAAUUUCCUUAUCUGACUAAGAAAGCUUCUUCGUGGGAAGGAAAAAAACCCCACACAAUUACUUAAGAUCCCCUCCCUAGGAAUUCCACCAAAUAACCAGGAAAGAUCAACCACCCAGAAGAGAGUGAGUGUUGGCCCAGACAGACUUUCCAUCUCUUCUUCUGAAGCUGCUCCAAGAUUACCUGGGGGCCGUCAGCUGCUUAAUAAGAGGAGCUUUGUUCCCCAGCCGUUCUGCCCCUCACCUUCCUGUCACUGGCCCAAGCUAGCCCCCACAGAGAACCCCGCUACCCACUGUGUGAGCACUGGGCCUGUCUGCCUCCUCCACCCCCGCUCCCCUCUGCCCAGUGAAGAGGGAAACAAACAGCCCCUCUGGGGGGUCAUCUUUUGUAUGACUCCCAUGCACGAGUGCACAUAAUAAACCUGCCAUGCUUUUCUCUUGUCAACCUGGUUUUUGUGAUAGGGGCGAGGGGAGGAAAGGGAUCACCCCAUUUCUGCCCCUACAGUUCAGAAAAGGGAAAUAGGCCCAAAUAAUUUUACAUUGCCCAGGCUGGUCUCGAACAUGUGGCUUCAAGCAAUCAUCCCGCCUCAACCUCUAAAAGCAGUGGGAUUACUGGCCAGAGCCAUCCUUCCUGGCCCCAAAUAACUUUAAAAGAUGGGAAUGUACCAUAUGUGUUCUAUUUCAAACUAAAAGUAUUUAAUUUUACUUGAGUUUAAUAGAAAAAAAAGACAGAAAAAUGGCUGAAUCUUAGAUAAAUAUUUAUUUUCCACAGGAGAUAUUAGUUCAUAAAUGGAUUUCUCUAAGCUUCAAGAAAGAGAGAGGAUAACGAGGGCGCGCGGGCUCAUGCCUGUAACCUAGCACUCUGGGAGCCAAGGCGG